GACGAACGCUGGCGGCGUGCUUAACACAUGCAAGUCGAACGAUGAACCAGGGCUUGCCCUGGGGAUUAGUGGCGAACGGUGAGUAACACGUGGGCAACCUGCCCCAGACACCGGGAUAACCUCUCGAAAGAGUGGCUAAUACCGGAUAUGACCACUUCGGGCAUCCGACGGUGGUGGAAAGGAUUCUGGUCUGGGAUGGGCCCGCGGCCUAUCAGCUAGUUGGUGGGGUAAUGGCCUACCAAGGCGACGACGGGUAGCCGGCCUGAGAGGGCGACCGGCCACACUGGGACUGAGACACGGCCCAGACUCCUACGGGAGGCAGCAGUGGGGAAUAUUGCGCAAUGGGCGAAAGCCUGACGCAGCGACGCCGCGUGAGGGACGAAGGUCUUCGGA
Molecule: ribosomal RNA, 393 nt
Filed under: uncultured bacterium
Lineage: Bacteria
Description: bacterial SSU rRNA
Rfam family: Bacterial small subunit ribosomal RNA
Source: RNAcentral